Molecule: ribosomal RNA, 587 nt
Filed under: uncultured bacterium
Lineage: Bacteria
Description: bacterial SSU rRNA
Rfam family: Bacterial small subunit ribosomal RNA
Source: RNAcentral
CCUACGGGAGGCAGCAGUAGGGAAUCUUCCGCAAUGGACGAAAGUCUGACGGAGCAACGCCGCGUGAACGAUGAAGGCCUUCGGGUCGUAAAGUUCUGUUGUUAGGGAAGAACAAGUGUUAGUUGAAUAAGCUGGCACCUUGACGGUACCUAACCAGAAAGCCACGGCUAACUACGUGCCAGCAGCCGCGGUAAUACGUAGGUGGCAAGCGUUGUCCGGAAUUAUUGGGCGUAAAGCGCGCGCAGGCGGUUUCUUAAGUCUGAUGUGAAAGCCCCCGGCUCAACCGGGGAGGGUCAUUGGAAACUGGGAAACUUGAGUGCAGAAGAGGAAAGUGGAAUUCCAAGUGUAGCGGUGAAAUGCGUAGAGAUUUGGAGGAACACCAGUGGCGAAGGCGACUUUCUGGUCUGUAACUGACGCUGAGGCGCGAAAGCGUGGGGAGCAAACAGGAUUAGAUACCCUGGUAGUCCACGCUGUAAACGAUGAGUGCUAAGUGUUAGAGGGUUUCCGCCUUUAGUGCUGAAGUUAACGCAUUAAGCACUCCGCCUGGGGAGUUACGGCGCAAGACUGAAACUUAAAUGAAUUGACGG